GGAUGUGAGGGCGAUCUGGCUGCGACAUCUGUCACCCCAUUGAUCGCCAGGGUUGAUUCGGCUGAUCUGGCUGGCUAGGCGGGUGUCCCCUUCCUCCCUCACCGCUCCAUGUGCGUCCCUCCCGAAGCUGCGCGCUCGGUCGAAGAGGACGACCUUCCCCGAUAGAGGAGGACCGUUCUUCGGUCAAGGGUAUACGAGUAGCUGAGCUCCCCUGCUAGAACCUCCAAACAAGCUCUCAAGGUCCAUUUGUAGGAGAACGUAGGGUAGUCAAGCUUCCAAGACUCCAGACACAUCCAAAUGAGGCGCUGCACGUGGCCAGCUUCCA
This 325-nucleotide small nuclear RNA is filed under the name Panthera tigris altaica (Amur tiger). Its description in RNAcentral is "7SK RNA (ENSPTIG00000004768.1)". It matches the Rfam family "7SK RNA". Rfam says of the family: 7SK was discovered as an abundant small nuclear RNA in the mid-70s but a possible function has only recently been suggested. Two independent studies have found that 7SK RNA binds the CDK9/cyclin T complex (known as elongation factor P-TEFb). Lineage: Eukaryota; Metazoa; Chordata; Mammalia; Carnivora; Felidae. The record is from RNAcentral.